UAGUGUGUCGAUGAAGAGCGCAGCCAACUGUGUGAAUUAAUGUGAACUGCAUACUGCUUUGAACAUCGACAUCUUGAACGC
This 81-nucleotide ribosomal RNA is filed under the name Maritrema oocysta. RNAcentral describes it as "partial 5.8S ribosomal RNA". It matches the Rfam family "5.8S ribosomal RNA", at positions 29 to 107 of the family's 154-position model. From Rfam's summary of the family: 5.8S ribosomal RNA (5.8S rRNA) is a component of the large subunit of the eukaryotic ribosome. Lineage: Eukaryota; Metazoa; Platyhelminthes; Trematoda; Plagiorchiida; Microphallidae. The record is from RNAcentral.